Molecule: transfer RNA, 94 nt
Filed under: Pseudodesulfovibrio sp.
Lineage: Bacteria; Pseudomonadati; Thermodesulfobacteriota; Desulfovibrionia; Desulfovibrionales; Desulfovibrionaceae
Description: tRNA-Ser
Rfam family: tRNA
About the family: Transfer RNA (tRNA) molecules are approximately 80 nucleotides in length. Their secondary structure includes four short double-helical elements and three loops (D, anti-codon, and T loops). Further hydrogen bonds mediate the characteristic L-shaped molecular structure. tRNAs have two regions of fundamental functional importance: the anti-codon, which is responsible for specific mRNA codon recognition, and the 3' end, to which the tRNAs corresponding amino acid is attached (by aminoacyl-tRNA synthetases). tRNAs cope with the degeneracy of the genetic code in two manners: having more than one tRNA (with a specific anti-codon) for a particular amino acid; and 'wobble' base-pairing, i.e. permitting non-standard base-pairing at the 3rd anti-codon position.
Source: RNAcentral
GGAGAAGUGGCCGAGUUGGCUGAAGGCGCACGCCUGCUAAGCGUGUAACGGGUGUUAAGCUCGUUCGAGAGUUCGAAUCUCUCCUUCUCCGCCA